GAUGAACGCUGGCGGCGUGCCUAAUACAUGCAAGUCGAGCGAACGGACGAGAAGCUUGCUUCUCUGAUGUUAGCGGCGGACGGGUGAGUAACACGUGGAUAACCUACCUAUAAGACUGGGAUAACUUCGGGAAACCGGAGCUAAUACCGGAUAAUAUUUUGAACCGCAUGGUUCAAAAGUGAAAGACGGUCUUGCUGUCACUUAUAGAUGGAUCCGCGCUGCAUUAGCUAGUUGGUAAGGUUACGGCUUACCAAGGCAACGAUGCAUAGCCGACCUGAGAGGGGGGUUGGGCCAAAUUGAAAGUGAGACGCGGUCAGACUCCUACGGGAGGCAGCAGUAGGGAAUCUUCCGCAAUGGGCGAAAGCCUGACGGAGCAACGCCGCGUGAGUGAUGAAGGUCUUCGGAUCGUAAAACUCUGUUAUUAGGGAAGAACAUAUGUGUAAGUAACUGUGCACAUCUUGACGGUACCUAAUCAGAAAGCCACGGCUAACUACGUG
This 497-nucleotide ribosomal RNA is filed under the name uncultured bacterium. RNAcentral describes it as "partial 16S ribosomal RNA". It matches the Rfam family "Bacterial small subunit ribosomal RNA", at positions 28 to 507 of the family's 1533-position model. The record is from RNAcentral.